AUUGAACGCUGGCGGCAGGCCUAACACAUGCAAGUCGAGCGGAUGAAGGGAGCUGGCUCCUGGAUUCAGCGGCGGACGGGUGAGUAAUGCCUAGGAAUCGGCCUGGGAGUGGGGGAUAACGUCCGGAAACGGGCGCUAAUACCGCAUACGUCCUGAGGGAGAAAGUGGGGGAUCUUCGGACCUCACGCUAUCAGAUGAGCCUAGGUCGGAUUAGCUAGUUGGUGGGGUAAAGGCCUACCAAGGCGACGAUCCGUAACUGGUCUGAGAGGAUGAUCAGUCACACUGGAACUGAGACACGGUCCAGACUCCUACGGGAGGCAGCAGUGGGGAAUAUUGGACAAUGGGCGAAAGCCUGAUCCAGCCAUGCCGCGUGUGUGAAGAAGGUCUUCGGAUUGUAAAGCACUUUAAGUUGGGAGGAAGGGCAGUAAGUUAAUACCUUGCUGUUUUGACGUUACCAACAGAAUAAGCACCGGCUAACUUCGUG
RNAcentral lists this ribosomal RNA (484 nucleotides) under uncultured bacterium. RNAcentral describes it as "partial 16S ribosomal RNA". It matches the Rfam family "Bacterial small subunit ribosomal RNA", at positions 30 to 507 of the family's 1533-position model. The record is from RNAcentral.